CCUACGGGAGGCAGCAGUGGGGAAUCUUGCGCAAUGGGCGAAAGCCUGACGCAGCAACGCCGCGUGCGGGAUGAAGGCCUUCGGGCUGUAAACCGCUUUCAGCAGGAACGAAAAUGGCGGUACCUGCAGAAGAAGGAGCGGCCAACUACGUGCCAGCAGCCGCGGUGACACGUAGGCUCCAAGCGUUGUCCGGAUUUAUUGGGCGUAAAGAGCUCGUAGGCGGUCUAAUAAGUCGGGUGUGAAAACUCUGGGCUCAACCCGGAGACGCCAUCCGAUACUGUUAUGACUUGAGUUCAGGAGGGGAGCGGGGAAUUCCUAGUGUAGCGGUGAAAUGCGCAGAUAUUAGGAGGAACACCGGUGGCGAAGGCGCCGCUCUGGACUGAAACUGACGCUGAGGAGCGAAAGCAUGGGUAGCAAACAGGAUUAGAUACCCUGGUAGUCCAUGCCGUAAACGGUGGGCACUAGGUGUGGGUUUCAACUAACGAAAUCCGCGCCGUCGCUAACGCAUUAAGUGCCCCGCCGUCGGGUAGGUACGGUCGCGAAGAACGUAAAACCUAACAAAGGAAAGUUAAGUACGGCGUUGAGACGUUGCCGAACGGACGACCGACGAGGGGAGGUUAGG
Molecule: ribosomal RNA, 622 nt
Filed under: uncultured bacterium
Lineage: Bacteria
Description: bacterial SSU rRNA
Rfam family: Bacterial small subunit ribosomal RNA (bases 1-521)
Source: RNAcentral